Molecule: long non-coding RNA, 1880 nt
Filed under: Mytilus galloprovincialis (Mediterranean mussel)
Lineage: Eukaryota; Metazoa; Mollusca; Bivalvia; Mytilida; Mytilidae
Source: RNAcentral
CAUUCUCCUAUUUUAGAAAAAAAAACUUAUUGAUUUUCAGUAAAUUGACGAAAAGUCGACCUACCCUGUGUUUAUUUUUGGAUAUUUUGAACCAGAAAAGCUCAACAGGAAGUGUUAGAAUACUUUUUUCCGUCCUAACCAUUUGGUUGAGAUUAGAUGGUUUACCAGGCGUGUUCUAUACAACCACCAACAUCAUACUCAUCCAAAAAAAUAUUAUGUACAUAAAAACAACUUACAACACGUGUUCUAACUUAUUAAAUGUACAAGCACAAAAUAUGGUUGAGAUUUUUUCACCCUUUUUAUUUCUGCAUUAACAUUCUCCUGUGGAAAACACGUUACUAGGUUCAAAUUAACUGAGUAGCUCACUCGCUGAUAGGAGGGAAAACACAAAUAGUAUUUAGAGCAUCUGAUAGGAGGGAAAACACAAAUAGUAUUUAGAGCAUCAUAAAAUUAGAACAAAAAGGGUUGACAUUGGUAUAUAAUUGAAUAAUUGACAUAUAAUUAGUUUACAAUGGGUAUGUUUUUAUUUCCUGGCUGGUCGGUAGGUUUUGGUGGCUUGAAGAAAACUAAGUUACCUAGUUGGGCAAACGCAGUACAUUUUCUGUAUAACUGAGAACGAUUUGAUCAAUCAGUAGUUUAGGGACAAUCAACUUAAAAAUUGUUAAAGUUAUAGUUUAUAGACUUGUGUAAAACUGUUACAUACACGAUUAACCAAAUGUUUUUAUGAUAUUUAAUGCACAUUAACAAGAGAAAGUUAUAUAAUUACAUAUGAUCACUCGAUAUUUGGAAACGUUGUAUUUUCUGACAAUUUUUAAAAGUGUUCUAAUUACGGAUUUCAGUGGUUGUGAACAGGAUGGCCAUUUCCUAUGUAUGUCUUCUCUUAGAUAAAAUGUCUAUCGUGACCCAACUUUUACUUACUAGGAAGUAAUGAAUGUUUGUGUAAACACGGUUAUCUAAAAACACACACCGUGAUUAUACUGUUACCAGAGGUAGUUUUCUCGGUGAAUUUUAGGAAACCCCCUAGUAAAUGUAUUUAAAUGAAUUUGAUAUCAUUUAUUUUGUCAACAACGUUAUCAUUUUUUGUGAAUUUUAAGAUUUGAAAUUGGAGAUGAUUGUUUUUUUUUUUUUUUUUUAUUACGAAUUUAAAAAUUAAUUUUUAAAUGACAAUAUGCCCGAUAUUCAUAUAUCUGAAAGGCCAUGGUCAUUAUAUAAAAACUGUAAUAAAGCAAGCGAUUGUUAGUACUGUGAAAUGCAGUUAAAUAGACGUUUUUUUUUUUUAUAUUAUCAGGGUUUUAAUUAAUGCAUUACGUGUAUUCACAGCGACUCAUUUAAAGAGACGCCAGAAGUUUCUUCGUGGUAUACCGUAUACAUGUGCGAUUCAGUCAGGACAGCGAUUUUAAUAGAACAGAUAAUUUAGUACAUAUAUUUCUUUUAUGGUAACAGAUAUAGCAUAUCGGACAAAACAAGCGUGUAGGUUAUAUAUUUGAUUUAUUUUCAUUUACGCCAACUGUUCAGGGUUCGACCUCUGCGGUGGUAUCAGCCUCCACUCAGUGAAGCAUGUUAUUAUUUUAAUUCGUUCAUAAUUCACCAUUGCCGUGGUAUUUGCUCAAGGCAGGGUUGUUUUUUUUUUUUUUUUUUAUCAAAUCAGUUGUGGGAUAUGCCGUAACGUAAAAAAUGCCUUUGUUACCUUCCGUUGAGACGAUUGGUUAUUUUUGCGCUUUUGCAUACGUCUUUCUUGUCGUUAAUGUUAGGCAAGAUAAUAAUGUCCAAUUUUGACAUUUACCGUGUUUAAAAGGUGAUUUGGAAAACUAUUGUUGUUUGUAAUGUAGCCCUCCUCAACAUUAUAAAUCUGUUCAUAACACAGUGUUAUUUUAUCAGGA